Molecule: long non-coding RNA, 354 nt
Organism: Sarcophilus harrisii (Tasmanian devil)
Lineage: Eukaryota; Metazoa; Chordata; Mammalia; Dasyuromorphia; Dasyuridae
Exons: 3
Source: RefSeq, a predicted model, not a curated record
GAGACUCACUAACUAUAGAAAACAUGGCCAAAUGUAAUAUUACCCUUCUAAAGUCUAGGAUAAAUAACUUGGGGGUAAGGAUAACCAGUGGAAAAAGAAAAGGGCAGGGAUAUUUAUUCACAACACUUUGAGCUGGAAACCUACUGUGCUAUGUGGAAACUUCUGUCAAGUAUAAAACCAGCAUUUGACUAAACAUCUCCAAGAUGGAAAAGCCACCAACCCUAUUUCAGGAAAGAGGACUUGUUUUGGGAUCCAAAAUUCUUCCAUGGAAUUAAGUAGAAUGAAUCUUUUUGAACAAUGGAAAGUACACUGCUUCUGGAAUCAGAAAACCUGGGUUCAAAUACUACAAAAUGG